AAUUAUUUUACACUAGUUGGCAGAGUAUAUGUCGCAAUUAAAAAUAUAUUUCAUCGGCGGAGGUAAUCUGACAUCCGCUAUUAUCAAAGGUUUAAAUCUCAGUAAUUGGCAUAUUACCAUUUCAGAAGUUUAUGAGCCUCAAAGACGCAAGCUCGAAAAGUUCAAUGUGAAUAUUACAAGUGAAACUGCAGAUCCUAGCAUUAAUGAAGCCGACAUAAUUUUUUUAUGUAUAAAACCACAAUCCAUUGAAGACGCUAUAUCAAAAUUAAGUAAAACAGAUCUGUCUAAUAAGACAAUUAUAUCCGCUAUGGCAGGAAUACCACUUAGUUUUUUAAAACCUAAAUUCCUUGGCCAGAACAUCAAAUAUGCCCGUAUAAUGCCCAAUUUGGCCAUCUCUGUCUCAGCUGGUGUAAUAGGAGUAUACACUGAAAAUUCUGAUUUAAUAACUAUUAUUGAUAAGAUUUUCAGUAGCUCAAGCAAAAUAUAUUAUUUUAAUAAUGAAUCAGAUCUUCACAAAGUUACUGCUGUAAGCGGCUCUGGAAUUGCUUAUUGUUACAGAUUCAUGGAAUCGAUGGUUAAAGCAGCUCAGGAGAUCGGGCUAGAGUCUGAAGCUAAAAUGAUGGUACUUUACACAAUUUUAGGUAGUGCAAAAAUGGCUAUUGAAAGUGACAUGGACAUUCGGGAUUUAAGAAACGCGGUUACUAGCAAAGGUGGAACUACAGAACAAGCAUUAAUCUCACUUGAAAAUGACAAUAUCGACAAAAUUAUUUUGAAUGCCUGUCAAAAAGCACUAAAAAAAUCUAAAGAACUUGAAAAUGCUGUGCAGAUAUCUUAAAUGUAUAGUUAAAAGAAUAAAUUAUAGAAACCCUCCAUCACAUUCCAUAAUAAGCAUGACCAUAUGGCGGAAUAUAAAAA
Molecule: long non-coding RNA, 915 nt
Organism: Schistocerca gregaria
Lineage: Eukaryota; Metazoa; Arthropoda; Insecta; Orthoptera; Acrididae
Exons: 2
Source: RefSeq, a predicted model, not a curated record